CGAGGCAGAAGUCAUACAGUCCAUCCCCUUGGGCCGGACUCGUUUUUUUUUUUUCAACGACCCGGCGUUUGGUUUCGUCGAGUCGAUAAAGAGGAAACGCGUCCUAGUCCUGCUCUUUUUUUAAAAUCCGGUUCUUCAAUUUACAGAACGGAUUAAAUGCUUUGCACACAAUUAAACCCACUCAGGGUGGAGGACUGAGUGCUACCAGCGCGACACAACCGCGACACACGAAGAAAGAAGUAGCAGACAUGAAGGAAAGGGAAUAAACCCAGCGGAGCUUAUUCGUGGCCUCGACCUGGAAAAAAAAACGACCAGAGAAAAAGGCAAAAAUGAGAACAAUAUUAUUCAAUUAUUGUCUAUGUACAUCUUCAGGACUUUUCCAGGACAUUUUCCAUGACGUUUGCUUGGAUAAGCGUGGCGGUCGUAUUCACGACAGGUCAGUUGGAGCCUCGGUCUCUAAAUGGUCCGUCCAAAAAUACGGCCAAUUUUCACCGCACAACUUUUUCAAAAUGUCCCAUGACCUCUUCUGAUCUAUUUGACGAUUUUCCGGGUGCUUUCCAUGACUGGAUUUCCAGUCUGUAAGUUCCAGGGUUUUCCAGGUUCUUCGGAACAGCAUGCAGACUUACUAAACACUGAAACACCCUUUAUAAGAACUUCUGUUGUAUCCUCGUAACAACGCGGCGACCGUCUAUUUGUCAAAGUUACACAUUAUUUGUACCAUAAUUCAGUGCUGCGGGGCUUUACAAUAAAUAAAUAAAUAAAUAAAUAAACAAAUAAAAUGAAUCAAUUAAUCAAUCCAUUUCUAAUCUUUAGUGUAAUAUCUUUAUUGUUUAAUGCACUUGGGAUUACAGACAUUUGGGGAGUUCAGUGAAACGUGACAGUAUUACAAAAUAUGGUACAAAUGCCCCUAAAGAUAUUUUCACUUCACUCUGUAUAAAAAAAAAAAAGACAAUUAAAAAAAAAAAGAUAA
Molecule: long non-coding RNA, 970 nt
Organism: Lampris incognitus (smalleye Pacific opah)
Lineage: Eukaryota; Metazoa; Chordata; Actinopteri; Lampriformes; Lampridae
Exons: 3
Source: RefSeq, a predicted model, not a curated record